This 235-nucleotide unclassified non-coding RNA is filed under the name Clostridioides difficile. RNAcentral's name for it is "16S-23S ribosomal RNA intergenic spacer (ISR)". Lineage: Bacteria; Bacillati; Bacillota; Clostridia; Peptostreptococcales; Peptostreptococcaceae. The record is from RNAcentral.
ACCUACCGUUUAAUUUUGAGGGUUCGCUUUUACGAAUACUCAAAAUUAGCACUUUUAUCAACAGAAUAAACUGAACGCAUGUGAAGGUUGUUUGUUGGCGCUGUGCUUUAACACUUUGAAAACUGCAUAUAUAUUUAGUGAUAUGACAUCUAAUUUGUAAUAUAUAAAGCUGAUAACUUUUUAAAAUUAUCGAAGUUGAUAGCUUCUAAUCUAUCAGACCUUUUUAACUGGCCAA